RNAcentral lists this ribosomal RNA (492 nucleotides) under uncultured bacterium. RNAcentral's name for it is "partial 16S ribosomal RNA". It matches the Rfam family "Bacterial small subunit ribosomal RNA", at positions 29 to 507 of the family's 1533-position model. The record is from RNAcentral.
AGUGAACGCUGGCGGUAGGCCUAACACAUGCAAGUCGAACGGCAGCACAGUAAGAGCUUGCUCUUACGGGUGGCGAGUGGCGGACGGGUGAGGAAUACAUCGGAAUCUACUUUUUCGUGGGGGAUAACGUAGUGAAACUUACGCUAAUACCGCAUACGACCUACGGGUGAAAGCAGGGGAUCUUCGGACCUUGCGCGAUUGAAUGAGCCGAUGUCGGAUUAGCUAGUUGGCGGGGUAAAGGCCCACCAAGGCGACGAUCCGUAGCUGGUCUGAGAGGAUGAUCAGCCACACUGGAACUGAGACACGGUCCAGACUCCUACGGGAGGCAGCAGUGGGGAUUAUUGGACAAUGGGCGCAAGCCUGAUCCAGCCAUACCGCGUGGGUGAAGAAGGCCUUCGGGUUGUAAAGCCCUUUUGUUGGGAAAGAAAAGCAGCAGGUUAAUACCCCGCUGUUCUGACGGUACCCAAAGAAUAAGCACCGGCUAACUUCGUG